This 257-nucleotide ribosomal RNA is filed under the name uncultured bacterium. RNAcentral's name for it is "partial 16S ribosomal RNA". It matches the Rfam family "Bacterial small subunit ribosomal RNA", at positions 793 to 1055 of the family's 1533-position model. The record is from RNAcentral.
GUCCACGCCGUAAACUAUGAUUACUCGUUUCAGCGAUAUACGGUUGGAGACUAAGCGAAGUGAUAAGUAAUCCACCUGGGAGUACGAUCGCAAGGUUGAACUCAAAGGAAUUGACGGGGCCCGCACAAGCGGUGGAGCAUGUGGUUUAAUUCGACGCAACGCGAAGAACCUUACCAGGACUUGACAUCCCGGGAAUCCGACGUAAUGGUUGGAGUGCCCUUCGGGGAAUCCGGUGACAGGUGGUGCAUGGUUGUCGU